GUCCUUUGGCUUAGUGGUUGGAGCGUCCGCCUCGGAAUCGGGAGGUCGCGGGUUCUAUCCCCGGCCGAGUCAUACCAAAGACU
Potamilus streckersoni is the source of this 83-nucleotide non-coding RNA. The record is from the annotation of a GenBank genome assembly. NCBI's taxonomy places the organism in Eukaryota, Metazoa, Mollusca, Bivalvia, Unionida, Unionidae.